GACGAACGCUGGCGGCGUGCUUAACACAUGCAAGUCGAACGGUAAGGCCCUUCGGGGUACACUAGCGGCGAACGGGUGAGUAACACGUGGGUGAUCUGCCCUGCACUUCGGGAUAAGCCUGGGAAACUGGGUCUAAUACCGGAUAGGACUCCUGGCUCCAUGGUUGGGGGUGGAAAGCUUUUGCGGUGUGGGAUGGGCCCGCGGCAUAUCAGCUUGUUGGUGGGGUAAUGGCCUACCAAGGCGACGACGGGUAGCCGGCCUGAGAGGGUGACCGGUCACACUGGGACUGAGAUACGGCCCAGACCCCUACGGGAGGCAGCAGUGGGGAAUAUUGCACAAUGGGCGCAAGCCUGAUGCAGCGACGCCGCGUGAGGGAUGACGGCCUUCGGGUUGUAAACCUCUUUCAGCUAUGACGAAGCGCAAGUGACGGUAGUAGCAGAAGAAGGACCGGCCAACUACGUGCCAGCCGCCGCCGUAA
RNAcentral lists this ribosomal RNA (478 nucleotides) under uncultured bacterium. Its description in RNAcentral is "partial 16S ribosomal RNA". It matches the Rfam family "Bacterial small subunit ribosomal RNA", at positions 28 to 523 of the family's 1533-position model. The record is from RNAcentral.